GAAUAAGAAGCUUAUUGUGAAUAUUGACCUAAUAUCUUGGGGGGGGGGCAUGAGGGGUGUUUAAUCCCUCGCGCCCCCACCCCAAAAAAAAAAAAAAAACGAAAAUAUGAGUUGUGACUCCGAGGCAUUAAAGCAACGGAAUGCCAGAUAAGAGCUUUGCCUCGGCUAAAAAAGAAAGAGAGAUUCCGCGAUGAGACGAAAGCAAAUCACGUCGGAAAGCGGCCACGGACCGUCGCCCGUGCCGCCGCCGCCAGGAUAAUACCGGCGACCCCGAGCGGGAACGGACCGCGCGAAAGGACUCUUUUAUCUAAGACCCGAAUCUAAACAAAGUCCGUCUGAGAUCGAGUAGCGGCUUUUCCCCCGCGUCGGAUCGCGCGACUUAAACAUAAAAGAGUUUUAUCUUAAAGAGGUUUAAGCCGAAGAGUGGCAGGCUGGCAGGGGAAAGGGGGCGGGGCUUUGGGGGCCGGCUUUCAAACUUCCAACGAGUUCGUUUCCCAACGCCGCGAGGCUUUAUUUGAAGUCAACCUUCUUUCAGCUGGUAAGAUUAAUUUUAGAGUUCUUAGUUUUGCAGUACUUUGACCCUCACUUUUUCGGGGGAUUUUUCCAAAGGCCUUUAUGAAUGCGGAAACGGCGGCGUGAGAACUUCAAAGACGGAACAUGGACCAAAAUAUCGUGUAUCGCCUUGACAACCUAACUUGCAACUAUUGUAUGAAAUAACUCUUUGUACUAUUUGGAUUUUUGCGUUCUCAGUGGGGUACACGUACAGAAACCGAUCGGACCGGUGCCGAUUUUCUUCGUCUGCAGUCCCUUUCAGUUCAGGGUGUACCCUGCCUCCUGCCUGUUGAUGGAUGGGAUAGGCUCCAGCACUCCCCUGUAAACCUCGUGAGGAUAAGUGGCAAAGAAGAUGGAUGGGUAUUCAGAGAGUACGUUUUUCAACAGGUGUGUCAUCCAUCCAUCCAUCCAUCCAUCCAUUAUCUACUGCUCUUCCGGGUCAGGUUGCGGGGGAAGUUGCUUCAGCCUUCCCUUUCCCCAGCCACUUCUUCCAGCUCUUCCGGAGGGAUCCCGAGGCGUUCCCGAGCCAGCCGAGAGACAUAGUCUCUCCAGCGUGUCCUGGGUCGUCCUCCGGUUUUCUUUCCGGUGGGACGUGCCCGGAACACCUCACCGGGGAGGCGUCCGGUAGGCAUGUGGAUCAGAUGCCCCAGCCACCUCAUCUGGCUCCUCGACACUGAGCCCCUCCCUGAUGACCGAGCUUCUCACCCGUUCUCUAAGGGAGAGCCCGGACACCCUGCGGAGGAAACUCAUUUCGGCCGCAUGUAUCCGGGAUCUUGUUCUUUCGGUCAUGAACCACAGCUCACGCCCUUAGAUGAGGGUAGGAACGUAGAUCGACUAGUGAAUAAAGAACUUUGCCUUUCGACUUAGCUCUCUCUUUACCGCAAGGGACCGAUACAAAGUCCGCAUCACUGCAGACGCCGCGCCGAACCGUCUGUCGAUCUCCCGCUCCGUUCUUCCCUCACUCGUGAACAAGACCCCGAGAUACUUGAACUCCUCCACUUGGGGAAGGAUCUCAUCCACCGACCUGGAGAGGGCACGCCACCCUUUUCCGACUGAGGACCAUAGUCUCGGAUUUGUCGGUGCCGAUUCUCAUUCUAGCCACUUCACAGAUGUUUCACGGCUUUCUAAAAAGAAAAAUAUAUAUACACACGUAUGUCUGUCAUUAGAAUUUCGUUGCUGCACGCGUCUUAUUUAAAGUCCGAAACGCGGCGAUUGCCCAACUCCAAAGAGCCGAUUAAGAGCCACUCCGAUGCCGGCUCAUCAUCAGCGCUGCGAUUUUCCGGCCGCUAAUUCAACGCGCACUUCCACGACACUGUCAAAAGCAAAUAUCAGCGACGGCCUAAUUUGCCUCAUAAAGAUCCCGUUUGCCUUCUUUGCUGAUUUUUAAAAAUUUUUUUUUUUUUAAAUCACUCAGGCAAGCGGCGACAGGGGCGGGAAGUCGACACGUGGGCCCCAUCUGCUGACAAAGACUUUAUUCCGUU
Long non-coding RNA from Syngnathoides biaculeatus (alligator pipefish), 2033 nucleotides. RefSeq lists it as uncharacterized. The record is from RefSeq and is a predicted model, not a curated record. The transcript has 3 exons. NCBI's taxonomy places the organism in Eukaryota, Metazoa, Chordata, Actinopteri, Syngnathiformes, Syngnathidae.